AGUGAACGCUGGCGGUAGGCCUAACACUUCCAGUCGGACGGCAGCACCGUAAGAGCUUGCUCUUACGGGUGGCGAGUGGCGGACGGGUGAGGAAUACCUCGGAAUCUACUUUUUCGUGGGGGAUAACGUAGGGAAACUUACGCUAAUACCGCAUACGACCUACGGGUGAAAGCAGGGGAUCUUCGGACCUUGCGCGAUUGAAUGAGCCGAUGUCGGAUUAGCUAGUUGGCGGGGUAAAGGCCCACCAAGGCGACGAUCCGUAGCUGGUCUGAGAGGAUGAUCAGCCACACUGGAACUGAGACACGGUCCAGACUCCUACGGGAGGCAGCAGUGGGGAAUAUUGGACAAUGGGCGCAAGCCUGAUCCAGCCAUACCGCGUGGGUGAAGAAGGCCUUCGGGUUGUAAAGCCCUUUUGUUGGGAAAGAAAAGCAGCAGGUUAAUACCCCGCUGUUCUGACGGUACCCAAAGAAUAAGCACCGGCUAACUUCGUG
Molecule: ribosomal RNA, 491 nt
Filed under: uncultured bacterium
Lineage: Bacteria
Description: partial 16S ribosomal RNA
Rfam family: Bacterial small subunit ribosomal RNA
Source: RNAcentral